RNAcentral lists this ribosomal RNA (372 nucleotides) under uncultured organism. Its description in RNAcentral is "bacterial SSU rRNA". It matches the Rfam family "Bacterial small subunit ribosomal RNA", at positions 526 to 896 of the family's 1533-position model. The record is from RNAcentral.
CAGGGGGUGCAAACGUUGCUCGGAAUUAUUGGGCGUAUAGCGCGCGUAGGCGGCUACUUAAGUCGGAUGUGAAAGCCCCUGGCUCAACUGGGGAAGUGCACCCGAAACUGAGUGGCUUGAGUGCGAAAGAGGGUCGCGGAAUUCCCGGUGUAGAGGUGAAAUUCGUAGAUAUCGGGAGGAACACCGGUGGCGAAGGCGGCGACCUGGGUCGACACUGACGCUGAGGCGCGAAAGCGUGGGGAGCAAACAGGAUUAGAUACCCUGGUAGUCCACGCCGUAAACGAUGGGUGCUAGAUGUUUCUGGUAUUGACCCCGGAGGCGUCGUAGCUAACGCGUUAAGCACCCCGCCUGGGAAGUACGGCCGCAAGGCUA